GGUUCGAUUCGAGCGCAGCGAGAAAACGUUGCCGCAGGCAACGACCCGAAGGGUGAGGAGCGGAGCGACGAAUAAUCCUUCCCCCACCACCA
RNAcentral lists this small RNA (92 nucleotides) under Salmonella enterica. RNAcentral describes it as "partial RtT sRNA". It matches the Rfam family "RtT RNA", at positions 40 to 130 of the family's 130-position model. From Rfam's summary of the family: This family represents a bacterial cis-regulatory element known as RtT RNA. The exact function of RtT is unknown although it is thought that it may be involved in changing the cellular response in relation to amino acid starvation. Lineage: Bacteria; Pseudomonadati; Pseudomonadota; Gammaproteobacteria; Enterobacterales; Enterobacteriaceae. RNAcentral also lists the same sequence under 1 other name. The record is from RNAcentral.